AUCCAACUGACGAGUCCCAAAUAGGACGAAACGUGCGUCCUGAAU
This 45-nucleotide non-coding RNA is filed under the name Schistosoma curassoni. Lineage: Eukaryota; Metazoa; Platyhelminthes; Trematoda; Strigeidida; Schistosomatidae. The record is from RNAcentral.